This 435-nucleotide ribosomal RNA is filed under the name uncultured bacterium. RNAcentral's name for it is "bacterial SSU rRNA". It matches the Rfam family "Bacterial small subunit ribosomal RNA", at positions 339 to 791 of the family's 1533-position model. The record is from RNAcentral.
UUACGGGAGGCAGCAGUGGGGAAUCUUGCACAAUGGAGGAAACUCUGAUGCAGCGACGCCGCGUGAACGAUGAAGCCCUUCGGGGUGUAAAGUUCUUUCGCCAGGAACGAUAAUGACGGUACCUGGAGAAGAAGCUGCGGCUAACUACGUGCCAGCAGCCGCGGUAAUACGUAGCCAGCAAGCGUUGUUCGGAAUUAUUGGGCGUAAAGAGUAUGUAGGUGGUGUCGUAAGUUUGGUGUGAAAUCUCCUGGCUUAACUGGGAGGGUGCGCCGAAGACUGCGAUGCUUGAGUAUGGGAGAGGGAAUCGGAAUUCCUGGUGUAGCGGUGAGAUGCGUAGAUAUCAGGAGGAACACCUGUGGUGUAGACGGGUUCCUGGACCAUUACUGACACUGAGAUACGAAAGCGUGGGUAGCAAACAGGAUUAGAUACCCCAGU